Molecule: ribosomal RNA, 515 nt
Filed under: uncultured bacterium
Lineage: Bacteria
Description: partial 16S ribosomal RNA
Rfam family: Bacterial small subunit ribosomal RNA
Source: RNAcentral
GAUGAACGCUGGCGGCGUGCCUAAUACAUGCAAGUCGAGCGAAUGGAUUAAGAGCUUGCUCUUAUGAAGUUAGCGGCGGACGGGUGAGUAACACGUGAGUAACCUGCCCAUAAGACUGGGAUAAUUCCGGGAAACCGGGGCUAAUACCGGGUAACAUUUUGAACCGCAUGGUUCGAAAUUGAAAGGCGGCUUCGGCUGUCACUUAUGGAUGGACCCGCGUCGCAUUAGCUAGUUGGUGGGGUAACGGCUCCACAAGGCAACGAUGCGUAGCCGACCUGAGAGGGUGAUCGGCCACACUGGGACUGAGACACGGCCCAGACUCCUACGGGAGGCAGCAGUAGGGAAUCUGCCGCAAUGGACGAAAGUCUGACGGAGCAACGCCGCGUGAGUGAUGAAGGCUUUCGGGUCGUAAAACUCUGUUGUUAGGGAAGAACAAGUGCUAGUUGAAUAAGCUGACACCUUGACGGUACCUAACCAGAAAGCCACGGCUAACUACGUGCCAGCCGCCGCUGUAA